Molecule: small nuclear RNA, 326 nt
Filed under: Felis catus (domestic cat)
Lineage: Eukaryota; Metazoa; Chordata; Mammalia; Carnivora; Felidae
Description: 7SK RNA
Rfam family: 7SK RNA
About the family: 7SK was discovered as an abundant small nuclear RNA in the mid-70s but a possible function has only recently been suggested. Two independent studies have found that 7SK RNA binds the CDK9/cyclin T complex (known as elongation factor P-TEFb).
Source: Rfam by way of RNAcentral
GGACGUGGGGGCAACCUGGCUGUGCCAUCUCUCACCCUACUGAUCACCAAGGCUGAUUCAGUCAGUUGACCUGCCUGGGUAGGCAGGUGUCCCCUUCCUCCAUCACCACUCCAUGUGUAUCCCUCCCAAAGCUGUGCACCCAAAGAAGACAACCUUCCCUGAUGGAAGAGGACCAUUCUCCGUCAAGGGUAUAGGAGUAGCCACACUCACUAGAACCUUCAAACAAGUUUUCAAGGUCCAUUUGCAGGAAAACAUAAGGUAGUCAAGCUUCCAAAACUCCAGACACAGCCAAAUGAAGCACUCCAUGUGGCAGUCUGCCUUUCUUU